CUCGAUAGUACAUCUUGGCUUAAAGCUAUACGAUCCAUAAUUCUACUAAACAUUUCUGAUUAUAACAUUUCAAAUAGCGUCUGAAAAUACUGAAGGACUUAUAGAACUUAACACACAGGACGAUGGUAUGUGAUACAUCGUUACACUACAAGAGCUUUAGUACCAUUCACCCUAGAAUAAACAUGUCUUAUUGGGGAUAUGCUAAUAUCAUACUUUACAUAACCUUUAAAUGCAAAUAUUCCACAAUAG
Pelobates cultripes (western spadefoot toad) is the source of this 249-nucleotide non-coding RNA. Lineage: Eukaryota; Metazoa; Chordata; Amphibia; Anura; Pelobatidae. The record is from the annotation of a GenBank genome assembly.